Long non-coding RNA from Ochotona curzoniae (black-lipped pika), 207 nucleotides. RefSeq lists it as uncharacterized. The record is from RefSeq and is a predicted model, not a curated record. The transcript is spliced from 3 exons. Lineage: Eukaryota; Metazoa; Chordata; Mammalia; Lagomorpha; Ochotonidae.
UAAGCUCCGGCUGUGGGAAAGCUUGUGAAUCUGAGCGCUUGUUGAGAGCAGCUGGACUUGCACUGACAUAAGAGACGGCCAUCAGGAUCUAAGGACUGCACAACCAAGAUAAAUGCCUAAAGGUGACAUUGUAACUCAGUUCAGCCUUGAACUUGAGCAGUUUACCUUACGUAUGUGUUCUUCCAGGCAACUUCUGCUUCCAUCGAA